This 482-nucleotide ribosomal RNA is filed under the name uncultured bacterium. RNAcentral describes it as "partial 16S ribosomal RNA". It matches the Rfam family "Bacterial small subunit ribosomal RNA", at positions 28 to 523 of the family's 1533-position model. The record is from RNAcentral.
AGUGAACGUUGGCGGCGUGGAUUAGGCAUGCAAGUCGGGCGAGAACCGUAGCAAUACGGGGACGGCGGCGAAAGGGACAGUAAUGUGUAGGUACCUAUCUCCGGGUUCGGGAUAGCUGCGGGAAACUGCAGGUAAUACCGAAUAACGUCUCCGGACCAAAGGUGUGAUUCCACCUGGAGAGGGGCCUGCAUCCUAUUAGCUUGUUGGCGGGGUAACGGCCCACCAAGGCGACGAUGGGUAGCGGGUGUGAGAGCACGACCCGCGUCAUUGGGACUGAGCCACCGCCCAGACACCUACGGGUGGCUGCAGUCGUGAAUCUUCGGCAAUGGGCGCAAGCCCGACCGAGCGACGCCGCGUGCGGGAUGAAGGCCUUCGGGUUGUAAACCGCUGUCGUAGAGGAGGAAAUGCAGGGGGGUUCUCCCCUCUGUUUGACCUAUUCUAGGAUGAAGUACGGGCUAAGUUCGUGCCAGCCGCCGCCGUAA